This 252-nucleotide ribosomal RNA is filed under the name uncultured bacterium. RNAcentral's name for it is "partial 16S ribosomal RNA". It matches the Rfam family "Bacterial small subunit ribosomal RNA", at positions 524 to 775 of the family's 1533-position model. The record is from RNAcentral.
GACGAACCGUGCGAACGUUAUUCGGAAUCACUGGGCUUAAAGGGCGCGUAGGCGGGCCACCAAGUCAGGGGUGAAAUCCCACGGCUCAACCGUGGAAGUGCCCUUGAUACUGGUGGCCUCGAGGGAGGCAGGGGCGUGCGGAACUUUGGGUGGAGCGGUGAAAUGCGUAGAUAUCCAAAGGAACACCGGUGGCGAAAGCGGCGCGCUGGACCUCUUCUGACGCUGAGGUGCGAAAGCGUGGGGAGCAAACAG